CCCUUAGAGUUUGAUCCUGGCUCAGGAUGAACGCUAGCUACAGGCUUAACACAUGCAAGUCGAGGGGAAACGAUAGAGAAAGCUUGCUUUUUCUAGGCGUCGACCGGCGCACGGGUGAGUAACGCGUAUCCAACCUGCCCACCACUUGGGGAUAACCUUGCGAAAGUAAGACUAAUACCCAAUGAUAUCUCUAGAAGACAUCUGAAAGAGAUUAAAGAUUUAUCGGUGAUGGAUGGGGAUGCGUCUGAUUAGCUUGUUGGCGGGGUAACGGCCCACCAAGGCGACGAUCAGUAGGGGUUCUGAGAGGAAGGUCCCCCACAUUGGAACUGAGACACGGUCCAAACUCCUACGGGAGGCAGCAGUGAGGAAUAUUGGUCAAUGGGCGAGAGCCUGAACCAGCCAAGUAGCGUGCAGGAUGACGGCCCUAUGGGUUGUAAACUGCUUUUAUAAGGGAAUAAAGUGAGCCUCGUGAGACUUUUUGCAUGUACCUUAUGAAUAAGGACCGGCUAAUUCCGUGCCAGCAGCCGCGGUAAUACGGAAGGUCCGGGCGUUAUCCGGAUUUAUUGGGUUUAAAGGGAGCGUAGGCCGGAGAUUAAGCGUGUUGUGAAAUGUAGACGCUCAACGUCUGCACUGCAGCGCGAACUGGUUUCCUUGAGUACGCACAAAGUGGGCGGAAUUCGUGGUGUAGCGGUGAAAUGCUUAGAUAUCACGAAGAACUCCGAUUGCGAAGGCAGCUCACUGGAGCGCAACUGACGCUGAAGCUCGAAAGUGCGGGUAUCGAACAGGAUUAGAUACCCUGGUAGUCCGCACGGUAAACGAUGGAUGCCCGCUGUUGGUCUGAAUAGGUCAGCGGCCAAGCGAAAGCAUUAAGCAUCCCACCUGGGGAGUACGCCGGCAACGGUGAAACUCAAAUGAAUUGACGG
This 923-nucleotide ribosomal RNA is filed under the name uncultured bacterium. RNAcentral describes it as "bacterial SSU rRNA". It matches the Rfam family "Bacterial small subunit ribosomal RNA", at positions 1 to 916 of the family's 1533-position model. The record is from RNAcentral.